This is a long non-coding RNA of Osmia lignaria (orchard mason bee), 879 nucleotides long. RefSeq lists it as uncharacterized. The record is from RefSeq and is a predicted model, not a curated record. Lineage: Eukaryota; Metazoa; Arthropoda; Insecta; Hymenoptera; Megachilidae.
AUGAAAAAGAUUGAUUCGAAGAAGUUCGAGAAAGAUGAAAAAACUUAAUAGUAGAUAACGAUUCGUAAGACAUUUUGAAGUUUGACGUUUAAUGGAUGAGUUACUUAAGAAGUGAAGAAAUCGAGAAGAUAUUGAGUUUGGUAUCUGACAUUUCGUUGAAUUUAAAAAUAAUUAAAUUGUUGAGAAAAUGAAGAGGUUAAGAAAUUAUUUCAUUUUCAAUGAAUUGGAAAAAGCAGGAAAAUCAUGAUCAUACUACAUCUAGUACGCUCUUUCGCCAUUUUGUUUCGAAGUGUGACCAAACAGUAAUUCUUCACGUUUAAUUGAAACUAUGUUCUCGAAUAAACGUUGUGACCAGCAGUGACAUAUCCAGCACUGAUUUUUAUUUUCAAUGAAUUGGAAAAACAAUAAUGUCACUUUCGAAGAAUCUCACUGACAAACAUCACCGGUAGAGGCUCGGCACGAAAGACGACGAAGGUGUCGAAGAGAAGAUUCAAUUUUCUCUAAAUAGGAAACACUCGACGCCGGCAUUCGCGAAAAUUCGUCCGUAGCCGCCCACGAAAAUACAACGCGCGGCUGUUAGCAUGUCAGCGGGUGCUUUACGAUCACCCGAUAUAACGCGGGGAUUAGUUUGUCAACGGGGAAGCCGGCGUGCGCGUACACGCGCGUGCAUAUCACCAUCGCAGCGUCGUCUUUGGUGCCACGCAUUGUUCCCGGGGAAUUUCGUAAUGAUCCUAACGCCAAUGAACCGAGACGUGUCAGAAUUGUAACCACCAGAAUUCCUCACCAAAGAAACUACACAAUUUUCCUCGGAAACAAACAUGUCUAAGUAUCCUCGACACUAACAUAAUUAGAUAAACUAUCUGAAAUUACCAUUACCUU